This 103-nucleotide microRNA precursor is filed under the name Marmota monax (woodchuck). Lineage: Eukaryota; Metazoa; Chordata; Mammalia; Rodentia; Sciuridae. The record is from RNAcentral.
GGAGGAAUGGCUGGGUCAAAUGGUAGUUCCAAUCCCAGUUUUCUGAAGAAUCUCCAAAUUGCUUUCCAUAGAUGUUGCACCAAUUUGCAGUCCCACCAGCAAU